Molecule: ribosomal RNA, 616 nt
Filed under: Ochrobactrum sp. POC9
Lineage: Bacteria; Pseudomonadati; Pseudomonadota; Alphaproteobacteria; Hyphomicrobiales; Brucellaceae
Description: bacterial LSU rRNA
Rfam family: Bacterial large subunit ribosomal RNA
Source: RNAcentral
AGCGUGCCUUUUGUAGAAUGAACCGGCGAGUUACGAUUACAUGCGAGGUUAAGUUGAAGAGACGGAGCCGUAGGGAAACCGAGUCUGAAUAGGACGAAUGAGUAGGUGGUUGUAGACCCGAAACCAGGUGAUCUACCCAUGUCCAGGGUGAAGGUAAGGUAACACUUACUGGAGGCCCGAACCCACGCACGUUGAAAAGUGCUUGGAUGACUUGUGGGUAGCGGAGAAAUUCCAAACGAACUUGGAGAUAGCUGGUUCUCUCCGAAAUAGCUUUAGGGCUAGCGUCGACAUUAGAGAUUCUUGGAGGUAGAGCACUGUUUGGGUGAGGGGUCCAUCCCGGAUUACCAAUCUCAGAUAAACUCCGAAUGCCAAUGAAUUAUGGUCGGCAGUCAGACUGCGAGUGCUAAGAUCCGUAGUCGAAAGGGAAACAGCCCAGACCACCAGCUAAGGUCCCAAAGUAAUUGUUAAGUGGAAAAGGAUGUGACGUUGCUUAGACAACCAGGAUGUUGGCUCAGAAGCAGCCACCAUUUAAAGAGUGCGUAAUAGCUCACUGGUCGAGUGACGCUGCGCCGAAAAUGUAUCGGGGCUAAACAAUUCACCGAAGCUGUGGAUAGAC